UGUAUGUAACUUCAUUUAUUUUACUUUUUAUUUUAUUUUUUUUAUUAUUUUACUCAAGUCAUAUGUUUUCUUAUUUGUUUUAGUGUCUGCAAUUAUCUGUCAAAAAUUAGAGAAGUGUAAUAAAUCCUGCCACAUCUAUUGUGCUUCGAUGUGUAUCUCUUCUUUCCUCACUUGGGGCUGUAUCUAUUUUGAUGUCCUGUUUUCCAGCACAGGGAUUCUGAAGGAUAUUGUGUUGCCAGUUUGCACAGGGAAUGGCUGCCCUCUGCCUCAUAAUGCAGGCACUCUGAGGCUGCAUUGAUGAACUCACUCUUCUCUCUCCUUCACAGAAACAGAAGAGGCAACUAUGAAAAGCAGGUAUUUGUUCCGUACUUUUCACUAAAUGAAAGAACUUAGAAAUGUUUACUCUUCCUUUAACUUCAAUUCAACAUGGCACAACACAGGAAGUGUGUUUUUUUCUAAUAUUUCCAGUUCUCUUAGGAAGUCUGCUUCCCACUUUGGUGAAUGCAUAUUGAAUCCCUGUUGUGCAUAAGGCUGGGUAUGCA
Molecule: long non-coding RNA, 542 nt
Filed under: Felis catus (domestic cat)
Lineage: Eukaryota; Metazoa; Chordata; Mammalia; Carnivora; Felidae
Description: lncRNA (ENSFCAG00000042323.2)
Source: RNAcentral